GCCAGCAGCUUCAAUGUUUUUCUUUUCUACCGCUAGAUGCCAGGCUAGGACAGAAAAGGCCAAGAGAGCACCGAGAGUAUGGAUAUGGCCUUGGAUAGUACAUACAUUUCCACGUGCUCCCUUGGCUCCACGUGCAAACCCAUCGUGCAAGGAGCACACUGCACGCGUUGACCACCUGCAAGAUUCGUGCAAGCCUUGCAAUGCUUUAGAGAUUCACUUGCAUAAUUUGGCUUUGCUUACAUUUAAACGUAUGAAUCAUGAAUGAUUGACAAUCUGGAUCUGGAUUAAACGGUGUCCAAUCGCGAGCGUCUGGGCCGCCCAGCCGCCGUGAACUGUGGAGGAGCCGAGGACCGACAAGAACCCUCAGUCGGUGCCCCGCUCACGUCCUGCAGUUCGACUCGGACGAGGAUGAUCAUUUGACGGAGGGUAAUCGUCAAUCGACACUGAGAGAUUCAGGCCAUCUGCAGCGCAAGGUACGGCCGGUCCCGCUCGCUUUGAGCGACCACGUGACGCGAUCAUUAAUCAUGGCGUCUUGUCACAUGACAUGUCACCGGGCGCUUCGUUCGCAAGUCCCCUGUAUACCGUCGGAUUUCGGCGUUUGUUUGCAGCUGACUGCGCCACAAACGCCGCGUCGUCGGCAGUGCGCCGUAAAUCGCUCAGCUCAUCAGGGCAGCUUGUUUCCGAUCAGGAGAAAUUAGACUUUGUUUACGGAAGCUGUGGACGUGUUUCGUCACAUCUCGCUCUCCGUUAGAGGUAUCUGUGGGGAUUUCGUGUGAAUUUUCAUGUUCUAUGCUGACGUCAUCAGUGAAAGUAGCAUUAUCACGCUGCUCCCAAAAUUAUCGGCAAACAACGAAAAGAAGAAAAGAUCUCCUGCCGAAUGUGCCGAUUGGCUGAGGUGGGCCGCGGCGAAUAAUGUCAAACGGUUGCAUCACGUCAUCAUUCGGCUGUUUCCCCACUCCUGAAGACGUGAGCGCCAGUCCCAUCAUGAGCUGAAACUGGGCCUUUCAUUCAGCGGUCGUGCAGUUAGCUCGGUGAUCUAUUAUGGUCACUGGUGCCACGCCCUCUCUAAUUGGCCGCCGAACUCCCGAAAUUACCACGGAGACCGAAUACAUCAGAGCUUGUUGAGAA
Molecule: long non-coding RNA, 1128 nt
Organism: Amphibalanus amphitrite
Lineage: Eukaryota; Metazoa; Arthropoda; Thecostraca; Balanomorpha; Balanidae
Exons: 4
Source: RefSeq, a predicted model, not a curated record